Molecule: unclassified non-coding RNA, 168 nt
Organism: Microtus ochrogaster (prairie vole)
Lineage: Eukaryota; Metazoa; Chordata; Mammalia; Rodentia; Cricetidae
Product: predicted gene, 27271
Source: Ensembl
CGCGUUUGCGUCUAAAUGGGUGUGGUGCUAAGUAUAUCUUGUUUAUCUUUCUUUGGAAAAAGUUUUGAAGUCUAGUGGCGUUUGUCACAUCAUCCCUGUUGCCUAGCGCUAUCAAGUGUGUUCCUACCUAGCAACAGAGAAGGGGAUCAGUGGACUUUGUUGGUUGGC